UACGUAGGGUCCAAGCGUUGUCCGGAUUUAUUGGGCGUAAAGAGCUCGUAGGCGGUCUGUUGCGUCGGCUGUGAAAACCCGGGGCUCAACCCCGGGCCUGCAGCCGAUACGGGCAGACUAGAGUUCGGCAGGGGAGACUGGAAUUCCUGGUGUAGCGGUGAAAUGCGCAGAUAUCAGGAGGAACACCGGUGGCGAAGGCGGGUCUCUGGGCCGAAACUGACGUUGA
This 226-nucleotide ribosomal RNA is filed under the name uncultured bacterium. RNAcentral's name for it is "partial 16S ribosomal RNA". It matches the Rfam family "Bacterial small subunit ribosomal RNA", at positions 524 to 749 of the family's 1533-position model. The record is from RNAcentral.